AAUUGGGGAUAAUCAAUUUUCAGGGAAGAUACCCGAUUUUAUUCAGAACUGGACGAGUCUCGAGAAAUUGAGGAUUCUGGGGAGUGGUUUAAGCGGGCCAAUUCCUUCAGUAUUCUCACUAAUGAAAAAUCUGAGAGAAUUGAUUAUUAGUGACCUGAAUGGAUCUGAAUAUUUGCAUUUGCCAGAACUUAA
Long non-coding RNA from Neltuma alba, 192 nucleotides. RefSeq lists it as uncharacterized. The transcript is spliced from 3 exons. NCBI's taxonomy places the organism in Eukaryota, Viridiplantae, Streptophyta, Magnoliopsida, Fabales, Fabaceae. The record is from RefSeq and is a predicted model, not a curated record.